This 301-nucleotide ribosomal RNA is filed under the name uncultured bacterium. RNAcentral's name for it is "partial 16S ribosomal RNA". It matches the Rfam family "Bacterial small subunit ribosomal RNA", at positions 509 to 809 of the family's 1533-position model. The record is from RNAcentral.
CAGUAGCCGCGGGAAUACGAAGGGGGCUAGCGUUGCUCGGAAUGACUGGGCGUAAAGGGCGCGUAGGCGGCGAUCAAAGUCAGGCGUGAAAUUCCUGGGCUCAACCUGGGGGCUGCGUUUGAUACUUGAUUGCUAGAGUGGGGAAGAGGGUCGUGGAAUUCCCAGUGUAGAGGUGAAAUUCGUAGAUAUUCGGAAGAACACCAGUGGCGAAGGCGGCUUACUGGCUCAUACUGGACGCUGAGGUGCGAAAGCGUGGGGAGCAAACAGGAUUAGAUACCCCAGUAGUCCCUGUCUCUUAUAA